CGAUCGAAAGGGCAAGUUCAUCAUGAGAUGAAUGCGCAAAACUAAAGGGCCUUGUGCUGUGUACAGCAGCCAGGGUAGCCAGUUACCGAA
This 90-nucleotide non-coding RNA is filed under the name Chloroflexota bacterium. Its description in RNAcentral is "Chloroflexi bacterium c-di-GMP sequence". It matches the Rfam family "c-di-GMP-I riboswitch aptamer". Rfam says of the family: GEMM was predicted in a large-scale screen for bacterial structured RNA regulatory elements. Genes associated with GEMM are involved in a diverse array of functions, including chemotaxis regulation, signal transduction, secretion and chitin. Lineage: Bacteria; Bacillati; Chloroflexota. The record is from RNAcentral.